CCGUGGCUUGCCCCCCGACACCCGCACCACGGCCCCGCUCCCGUGGGAAGCCUCCCUCUCGACACUCCCGCUGGUGCCAUCGCGACGCUCCACGUCGGACCCCACCAUCUCGCCUACAAGAAGAUGCAAAAAGAUUAGUACAACUUGCAAGAAAAUUCCUAAGGAAGCAACUAGGGAAAAUCUACGCCGCAAGGUCAUGUACAACCGUCGGUAAAAAAAAGGGGGGGAGGAAAAGAAUCCCCCUCGGAAACGGCCCCAGGCCCGAGUACGAUACCCUCGGCCCAAGCCCAGUGAAACGACGAAGCAAAAAAAAGGAGAAGGGAGGAGCCCAGCCCCCCCCCCCCCCCCCCGAUCGCGUCUCCGCCCCCGCCUGCCUCCGCGGCCCGCGGCCUACACACCUCCGGCCCACCUUGACCGACAGAAGGAUGGGCCCGAGGCCCCGCGCUCGUCCACGACCCAAGUCCCCAAGGCGGUUCAGAAGGUCAGUAAAAAAAAGAAAAGAAAGGAAAAGACAGAAGGGAGUUGCACGCCUGUAGGGUGUUCGGCCGAAUGACCGACACCCCGGAACACGCUACGCGCGUUCUGGCAACGCCGUGACCGGCGCCCCUGACGCGCUGCGACUGGCACCCCCGACGUGCCCAGCUCCGUGUCCCGCCACGUGCACUCCUCACGCCGGGCGCGCUCCCGCUACGUCACGCCUCGACGCCGUGCCCUGCGUAGCGCCGGCUCCACGGCCAUGUCUCCCCGGUUCUGAUGCCA
This 759-nucleotide long non-coding RNA is filed under the name Brachypodium distachyon (stiff brome). RNAcentral describes it as "long non-coding RNA (BDIS_LNC001888)". The record is from RNAcentral. Lineage: Eukaryota; Viridiplantae; Streptophyta; Magnoliopsida; Poales; Poaceae.